Paramacrobiotus metropolitanus is the source of this 597-nucleotide long non-coding RNA. RefSeq lists it as uncharacterized. The record is from RefSeq and is a predicted model, not a curated record. Lineage: Eukaryota; Metazoa; Tardigrada; Eutardigrada; Parachela; Macrobiotidae. The transcript has 4 exons.
UUGAAAUCUUAGUGUUGUACCUUGAUUCACUAGUUUUGAGUACAAACUUACAAAAUUUCGAUAGAAAAAUGAAUGUCGCAUUAUCCGCUCAAAUUUUUGCGUGUACACAGCGUGGCCGCACAUUAAAAAAUGUAAUUUAAAUUCGCAAGAUAAUUCAUCUUUUAUGCAUCACUAACUGAACGGUAAAGCUAAACAGGAUCAGUUUAUCGUUCCAUCCAACGGUAUUGUGUGGAUCAAUGGACAGCGCUUCGUGCGCAAGCAGUCAGCAGUGCAGUCGGUGCGGAUCGGCGAAAUUACUGAUCAAAACAUCUCAUCGAGAAUCAACUGAAUUUUGCAACGGGAUGUGCAACGAAAUCACAAGAAGUGUUCCGUUUGCUGUACCGCACGUUGCUGCAUGAUCGCUUUCUGCAUCGUAACAACGGUGAUUAUCUUGGCGGUUACAGUGGCGGCAACGGCAAUAAUUAUCACGAAUUCCGGUAAAACUUCAGAUAAGAAAUUAACUGAUAACGAGACCUCGACAUCGUCUCCAUCAACGGAUGAAGACUCUCUGCAGCCAACGACAAACCAGACGUAUUUGUGCGCGAAAGAUAGCGACUG